CGAGCGGACAGAUGGGAGCUUGCUCCCUGAUGUUAGCGGCGGACGGGUGAGUAACACGUGGGUAACCUGCCUGUAAGACUGGGAUAACUCCGGGAAACCGGGGCUAAUACCGGAUGGUUGUUUGAACCGCAUGGUUCAAACAUAAAAGGUGGCUUCGGCUACCACUUACAGAUGGACCCGCGGCGCAUUAGCUAGUUGGUGAGGUAACGGCUCACCAAGGCAACGAUGCGUAGCCGACCUGAGAGGGUGAUCGGCCACACUGGGACUGAGACACGGCCCAGACUCCUACGGGAGGCAGCAGUAGGGAAUCUUCCGCAAUGGACGAAAGUCUGACGGAGCAACGCCGCGUGAGUGAUGAAGGUUUUCGGAUCGUAAAGCUCUGUUGUUAGGGAAGAACAAGUACCGUUCGAAUAGGGCGGUACCUUGACGGUACCUAACCAGAAAGCCACGGCUAACUACGUGCCAGCAGCCGCGGUAAUACGUAGGUGGCAAGCGUUGUCCGGAAUUAUUGGGCGUAAAGGGCUCGCAGGCGGUUUCUUAAGUCUGAUGUGAAAGCCCCCGGCUCAACCGGGGAGGGUCAUUGGAAACUGGGGAACUUGAGUGCAGAAGAGGAGAGUGGAAUUCCACGUGUAGCGGUGAAAUGCGUAGAGAUGUGGAGGAACACCAGUGGCGAAGGCGACUCUCUGGUCUGUAACUGACGCUGAGGAGCGAAAGCGUGGGGAGCGAACAGGAUUAGAUACCCUGGUAGUCCACGCCGUAAACGAUGAGUGCUAAGUGUUAGGGGGUUUCCGCCCCUUAGUGCUGCAGCUAACGCAUUAAGCACUCCGCCUGGGGAGUACGGUCGCAAGACUGAAACUCAAAGGAAUUGACGGGGGCCCGCACAAGCGG
Molecule: ribosomal RNA, 888 nt
Filed under: Bacillus tequilensis KCTC 13622
Lineage: Bacteria; Bacillati; Bacillota; Bacilli; Caryophanales; Bacillaceae
Description: bacterial SSU rRNA
Rfam family: Bacterial small subunit ribosomal RNA
Source: RNAcentral